GAUGAACGCUGGCGGCGUGCCUAAUACAUGCAAGUCGAGCGAACGGACGAGAAGCUUGCUUCUCUGAUGUUAGCGGCGGACGGGUGAGUAACACGUGGAUCACCUACCUAUAAGACUGGGAUAACUUCGGGAAACCGGAGCUAAUACCGGAUAAUAUUUUGAACCGCAUGGUUCAAAAGUGAAAGACGGUCUUGCUGUCACUUAUAGAUGGAUCCGCGCUGCAUUAGCUAGUUGGUAAGGUAACGGCUUACCAAGGCAACGAUGCAUAGCCGACCUGAGAGGGUGAUCGGCCACACUGGAACGGAGACACGGUCCAGACUCCUACGGGAGGCAGCAGUAGGGAAUCUUCCGCAAUGGGCGAAAGCCUGACGGAGCAACGCCGCGUGAGUGAUGAAGAUCUUCGGAUCGUAAAACUCUGUUAUUAGGGAAGAACAUAUGUGUAAGUAACUGUGCACAUCUUGACGGUACCUAAUCAGAAAGCCACGGCUAACUACGUG
This 497-nucleotide ribosomal RNA is filed under the name uncultured bacterium. RNAcentral describes it as "partial 16S ribosomal RNA". It matches the Rfam family "Bacterial small subunit ribosomal RNA", at positions 28 to 507 of the family's 1533-position model. The record is from RNAcentral.